CCAAUCAACUUCAUCACCGUCUUCCACCUACACCGAACGUCAAGCAAAUUUUGUCCUAUCGUCGCAUCACCGUUAGACCGAGUCACUCCGGUUCCGUCACGCCAUGUAUGUUUAGAUUUGAAUUGUUCGGUUAUUUGUUGCACCGAUCCGUCUCCAUUAGAAUUUGAUUCUCCACAAUUUGGGUAAGUUAUGGAAUUUACAUAUAGAGUGAAUUGAAUGGAUUAAAUUGUUUGUAGAAGUGAUUGAUUUCUCUUCAAUUAUGUUUAGGUCGGUUCGUUGCACUUUAGUUUGAAAAAUAAGCUUAAGUAAGGUUAUAAGGUAAGGGAUUCUCUACUAUUGGACUCACCUAUAGUUCUGAAUUGUGCUGUCUGUAUAGUUACCUCCGAUUGAGUAAAGAUGUCGAAACGAUUGGGACAGAACCAAGAAACCGAGUCAAGGGCAUCACCGUUCGGCUUUUGUGGGUAAGACUCUUCGAGAUCACUCAAAUCGGACCGUCCAGUGGUUAGAUGUGAACUUUCGAGGCCUCCGACCCCGUUCUAAGUCUGGUCGUUCCUUUCUAGGUCAUUGUGCCUUUCUUCGACGUUUUGGGACAGAACAAAGAAACCGAGUCUGGGGCAUCACCGUUCGGC
This 629-nucleotide long non-coding RNA is filed under the name Cucumis sativus (cucumber). RNAcentral describes it as "long non-coding RNA (CSAT_LNC000190)". Lineage: Eukaryota; Viridiplantae; Streptophyta; Magnoliopsida; Cucurbitales; Cucurbitaceae. The record is from RNAcentral.